GAGAUAUUAACAGGACUGGGUAAA
RNAcentral lists this non-coding RNA (24 nucleotides) under Cricetulus griseus (Chinese hamster). The record is from RNAcentral. Lineage: Eukaryota; Metazoa; Chordata; Mammalia; Rodentia; Cricetidae.